RNAcentral lists this ribosomal RNA (1243 nucleotides) under human gut metagenome. Its description in RNAcentral is "bacterial LSU rRNA". It matches the Rfam family "Bacterial large subunit ribosomal RNA", at positions 1657 to 2925 of the family's 2925-position model. The record is from RNAcentral.
ACGUAGGUCAAGGAGAGUAUCCUAAGGUGAGCGAGAUAACUGUUGUUAAGGAACUCUGCAAAAUUACUUCGUAAGUUAGCGAGAAGAAGUGCUCCGUAAAAGGAGCCGCAGUGAAGAGGCCCAAGUAACUGUUUACCAAAAACACAGCUCUAUGCUAAGUCGUAAGACGAUGUAUAUGGGGUGAAGCCUGCCCGGUGCCGGAAGGUUAAUAGGAGAGGUGAAAGCUUUGAAUUGAAGCCCCGGUGAACGGCGGCCGUAACUAUAACGGUCCUAAGGUAGCGAAAUUCCUUGUCAGGUAAGUUCUGACGUGCACGAAUGGUUUAAUAAUUUGGGCGCUGUCUCGACAGCAGACUCGGUGAAAUCUUAAUACCGGUGAAGAUGCCGGUUACCCGCGACUAGACGGAAAGACCCCAUGGAGCUUUACUACAACUUAAUAUUGAGUAAUUGCAAAUCAUGUAGAGGAUAGGUGGGAGGCUAUGAAGUAAUGGCGCUAGCUAUUAUGGAGCCGCCCUUGGAAUACCACCCUUGAUUUACAGUUAUUCUAACUUCCUCCCUGGAUGGGAGGGAAGACAGUGUUAGGCGGGUAGUUUGGCUGGGGCGGCCGCCUCCCAAAUAGUAACGGAGGCGCCCUAAGGUACCCUCAGUAUGGUCGGAAAUCAUACGUAGAGCGCAAAUGCAUAAGGGUGCUUGACUGCGAGACACACAGGUCGAGCAGGUACGAAAGUAGGGAUUAGUGACCAGGCGGUUUCAUUGUGGAAUGGCCGUCGCUUAACGGAUAAAAGCUACCCUGGGGAUAACAGGCUGAUCGCGUCCAAGAGUUCACUUCGACGACGCGGUUUGGCACCUCGAUGUCGGCUCAUCACAUCCUGGAGGGGCAGUACCUUCCAAGGGUUAGGCUGUUCGCCUAUUAAAGUGGUACGCGAGCUGGGUUCAAAACGUCGUGAGACAGUUUGGUCCCUAUCUGUCGUGGGCGUAGGAAGUUUGAAAGGAUCUGACCCUAGUACGCAAGGACCAGGUUGGACGUAACUACGGUACACCGGUUGUUUCGCCAGAAGCAUAGCCGGGUAGCCGCUUACGGAUCGAAUAAACGCUGAAAGCAUCUAAGCGUGAAAUCGUCCUUAAGAUGAGACUUCCGAUUCUAACGAAUUAAGAUCCCUUCUAUGUUAGGAGGUUGAUAGGUCACAGAUGUACGCAUAGUGAUAUGUUUAGUCGAGUGAUACUAAUAGAUCGAUCACUUAUUUCA